CCGAGGUAGUACUUCAAACAUAAUAAUCUAGAAGUUAUGUUAAACACGUUUCAUGUAAACUGCCUGUCCUAUCCGAGACGGGCACAGCCUCUUCUUCUACCCCUUCGAAUGUGAGUGUCUACUUCGGCUCCAUUAAUACACAGUGGAUUUCCAAUAAGGGGUUCAUCACCCGGAAGAGCAGUAAUGUUCCUCUGAAGAAUGAGAGUUUGGUAGAUGAGAUUAGGGAGAGUAAUUUUGGUGUCAGCAUCAAAAUAUAGUUGCCUCCGAGAGAUCAUCACUCUUCCAAACGUGAGAGUGUUCGACAUUUGGAGUCAUAAAUAGUUGAUUUAUCACGACAGGGUCGAAUCAAACAUGCAGCCCCUAAUAUAGACUCCGUCAUUGGCACUGUAUAGGUUCGAAAUGCAUUCCCUGACUACUCUUGGACAGAAAAGGGCGAACAUGCAAAACAAUGUAAAUCCACCCAACAGUUUCUAAUAUUCGACGAGCUUCACAAACAGCGGGGUCAUCUAACAGUAAGAUUCCUUAGACUAAAAAACCCUAUAUGCAUAGUUCUUGAUACUUACUAAAGCUAUCUUCACUUACAUGACGAAGAGACCACGGGUUUGGUACUGGUGCGUUUGAGACCAAGAAGACCCGUGUUGCUUCGAGGCGAGAUUCAAAACUCAUAUAAGGAGUUGCUUCGAGGCGAUGAGGACUACCGCUGCGAGAUUCACAGUUCCGGCAAAGGUUGGAUCCAGAUGAUUCAGAGCUCAUCUUUUGAUUAGGGAAUGAGAUAUUCGUAGAUAAAAUUAGGGAGAGUAAUUUUGGAUCUAAAAGAUGAUGGAGUGGUGAAAAGAAAAUUCUUUGGUAUUAACCAUAGCAAGUCGAUAAGAGGAAACUGAGAGACUUUGAAAAUGGACAGUGAUAAUAC
RNAcentral lists this long non-coding RNA (910 nucleotides) under Brassica rapa (field mustard). RNAcentral's name for it is "long non-coding RNA (BRAP_LNC005029)". Lineage: Eukaryota; Viridiplantae; Streptophyta; Magnoliopsida; Brassicales; Brassicaceae. The record is from RNAcentral.